Oryza nivara is the source of this 212-nucleotide non-coding RNA. NCBI's taxonomy places the organism in Eukaryota, Viridiplantae, Streptophyta, Magnoliopsida, Poales, Poaceae. The record is from Rfam.
AGACAGUCCAAAAAAAAAUACCCCUCAUAUCCAACGUUUGAUGGUUCAUCUUAUUUAAAAUUCUUUUUAUGAUUAGUAUUUUUGUUGUUAUUAGAUGAUAAAACAUGAGCAAGUACUUUGUGUGUGACUAAUUCUUUUUAAUUUUUUCAUAAAAUUUUCAAAUAAGACGAACGGUCAAACGUUUGAUAUGGAUACCCACGGAUACACAUAUU